UUGGUGACUGAGCGGCGGACGGGUGAGUAACGCGUGGGUAACCUGCCUCAUACAGGGGGAUAACAGUUGGAAACGGCUGCUAAUACCGCAUAAGCGCACAGUACCGCAUGGUACGGUGUGAAAAACUCCGGUGGUAUGAGAUGGACCCGCGUCUGAUUAGGUAGUUGGUGGGGUAACGGCCUACCAAGCCGACGAUCAGUAGCCGACCUGAGAGGGUGACCGGCCACAUUGGGACUGAGACACGGCCCAAACUCCUACGGGAGGCAGCAGUGGGGAAUAUUGCACAAUGGGGGAAACCCUGAUGCAGCGACGCCGCGUGAGCGAUGAAGUAUUUCGGUAUGUAAAGCUCUAUCAGCAGGGAAGAAAAUGACGGUACCUGACUAAGAAGCCCCGGCUAACUACGUGCCAGCAGCCGCGGUAAUACGUAGGGGGCAAGCGUUAUCCGGAUUUACUGGGUGUAAAGGGAGCGUAGACGGCAUGGCAAGCCAGAUGUGAAAGCCCGGGGCUCAACCCUGGGACUGCAUUUGGAACUGUCAGGCUAGAGUGUCGGAGAGGAAAGCGGAAUUCCUAGUGUAGCGGUGAAAUGCGUAGAUAUUAGGAGGAACACCAGUGGCGAAGGCGGCUUUCUGGACGAUGACUGACGUUGA
Molecule: ribosomal RNA, 647 nt
Filed under: uncultured Lachnospiraceae bacterium
Lineage: Bacteria; Bacillati; Bacillota; Clostridia; Lachnospirales; Lachnospiraceae
Description: bacterial SSU rRNA
Rfam family: Bacterial small subunit ribosomal RNA
Source: RNAcentral